ACGGGUGCGUAACACGUAUGUAACCUACCUUGUUCAGGGGGAUAGCCUCUCGAAAGAGAGAUUAAGACCGCAUAACAUUAAGUUGUGGCAUCGCAAUUUAAUCAAAUAUUUAUAGGAACAAGAUGGGCAUGCGGAACAUUAGCUAGUUGGUAAGGUAAUGGCUUACCAAGGCUACGAUGUUUAGGGGAUCUGAGAGGAUGACCCCCCACACUGGUACUGAGACACGGACCAGACUCCUACGGGAGGCAGCAGUAAGGAAUAUUGGUCAAUGGGCGCAAGCCUGAACCAGCCAUGCCGCGUGCAGGAAGACGGCCCUACGGGUUGUAAACUGCUUUUGUACCGGAAUAAACCUUGAUUCGUGAAUCAAGCUGAAUGUACGGUAAGAAUAAGGAUCGGCUAACUCCGUGCC
RNAcentral lists this ribosomal RNA (409 nucleotides) under uncultured bacterium. RNAcentral's name for it is "bacterial SSU rRNA". It matches the Rfam family "Bacterial small subunit ribosomal RNA", at positions 102 to 509 of the family's 1533-position model. The record is from RNAcentral.